ACACGUCAAAAUGAUUUUUAUUUGGUCUUUAUUCACUAAAGUCAUCAAGUUUGUUAUAAUAAUAAUAAUAAUAAUAAUCCAAUCUAUCUUUAAUUUUUCAAAGAUACAGACUUUCUCUUCAUUUUCUCUUCUUUUUUCUCUUUCAUAGUUUUCUCUCUUCUUUCUUCCACGUUUCUUUUCUCUCCCUUAUCUAUUCAUUUCUGCAUUUUCAACAACAAUGUUGAAACUUAAAUGUUUCUUUCAAUCUUUAAACUCUGAUUUCCUUUAUUUAUAUAUUUUCUGAAUCGUUUUGAACAAAUAUGAAUUUUAUAUCAAUGAUAUUUCAAAUCUGUGAAAUCAGUGGUGUAGUUUAGAUCUAUUAAAAAGAUAAGCGAUGUUUUCAGAUAUGUGAAAUCAAAGAAGGUGGUGAGGUUGCGGUUUUCGGUGGCGGCAGAUUUGUGCGUUUUUGUGUGAUUUGGAGGAUGUAAGGUUGCGAUUUCCGGUGAUGGAUGCAAGAUGAUUUCAUGACAGAUAAAUCUCCCUCAAUCGACAAAGCUGCAGUAUCUCAACAGACAUGCGGCGUCGACGCCUCCACAACCAAUCAACGACUACACCGCGCGACCCCUCUUCAUUUUGGCACCAGGCCAUUGGCCUUCACCUGUAUCGUGCCUUGCUUGCAUCCAUUACCACGAUUAAAUCUUCUCCGUGCAAGGCCACCGCAGCUGAAGAUUGAAAAGCAAAGAUGGUCAUAUGCAUGUGCUAAGCAGUUGAUUGAGAGGUUGGUUUAUGCUGAGGGUGCUGAAAAUGGCUUGAAGGUUACUAUUGUGAGGCCCUUUAAUUGGAUUGGACUCAGAAUGGACUUCAUUCCCGGCAUUGACGGUCCAAGUGAGGGUGUUCCUCGGGUUCUUGCAUGCUUCAGCAAUGUCGGUUCCAUUUCACUUUCACUUUCGGUUUUCUUUAAUUUUCAAGAUUUUUUAGCUGAAUGUUUGAGUAAUUGUUAAAAUAUUGUCUAAUUCCUUUUCCCCCAGAGAACUUUUGUUUACAUCAAAGAUGACAUUGAAGCUGUCCUAUUGAUGAUUGUAGGUUAUUUGAUAUAAUCUUGUGUUCCUCUAUUACUUAUUAUUGUUGUUGGUUCGAUCAUUGAACAUCAUGCGACAUUUUUGUUGAGAGGAAAACCCUGCCAGAGCCAAUGGCCACAUCUUCAAUGUAGGUAACCCAAACAAUGAGGUCUAUUCAAAGGUAAGUGGAGAACAACCUCCUGAAAAAUCUACAAUUGAUGUAAGCUCGAAAGAGUUUUACGAUGAAGGAUAUGAUGACACUGAUAAGAGAAUUCCUGACAUAACCAUAAUCAACAAACAGCUCGACUUCCCUCUGGGACCUGUUUGAAUCGACACUUACCUAUCAGCACAGGACAUAUGCAGAAGCCAUUCAAGAACCCAUUGCAAGUUAAAAGGUUUAAACAAACAAAACAUGAAUGGCAGUUCCAGAAGAGGGUAGUUUUACUACCCAAGUACCUUACAUUAUAUAUUACUGUUUGAAUUUUUACAUAUAUGGUAAAUUUAAUGUAGAGUUUUGCACUGUUAAACAAGUUAUGGCAUUUUUCACAUAUAAAAGAGAAAUAUAAAGGAGAAAAAUGUCUUUUUGUCAUAUUUUUCCUUCUUGGUGUUUUAGAGGUCGGUGGUGCUCAUUGUUUUGUCUGUUUUUCCAGUUCAUUUGUAAGUUGUAAUGUUCUGUUGACA
RNA transcript from Vicia villosa (hairy vetch), 1718 nucleotides. It is a transcript of the gene named UDP-D-apiose/UDP-D-xylose synthase-like, with no coding region annotated. The record is from RefSeq and is a predicted model, not a curated record. Lineage: Eukaryota; Viridiplantae; Streptophyta; Magnoliopsida; Fabales; Fabaceae. The transcript has 5 exons.